This 1059-nucleotide ribosomal RNA is filed under the name uncultured bacterium. RNAcentral describes it as "bacterial SSU rRNA". It matches the Rfam family "Bacterial small subunit ribosomal RNA", at positions 8 to 1064 of the family's 1533-position model. The record is from RNAcentral.
AGAGUUUGAUCCUGGCUCAGAUUGAACGCUGGCGGCAGGCCUAACACAUGCAAGUCGAACGGUAACAUUUCUAGCUUGCUAGAAGAUGACGAGUGGCGGACGGGUGAGUAAUGCUUGGGAACUUGCCUUUGCGAGGGGGAUAACAGUUGGAAACGACUGCUAAUACCGCAUAAUGUCUUCGGACCAAACGGGGCUUAGGCUCCGGCGCAAAGAGAGGCCCAAGUGAGAUUAGCUAGUUGGUAAGGUAAAGGCUUACCAAGGCAACGAUCUCUAGCUGUUCUGAGAGGAAGAUCAGCCACACUGGGACUGAGACACGGCCCAGACUCCUACGGGAGGCAGCAGUGGGGAAUAUUGCACAAUGGGGGAAACCCUGAUGCAGCCAUGCCGCGUGUGUGAAGAAGGCCUUCGGGUUGUAAAGCACUUUCAGUUGUGAGGAAAAGUUAGUAGUUAAUACCUGCUAGCCGUGACGUUAACAACAGAAGAAGCACUGGCUAACUCCGUGCCAGCAGCCGCGGUAAUACGGAGGGUGCGAGCGUUAAUCGGAAUUACUGGGCGUAAAGCGCACGCAGGCGGUUUGUUAAGCUAGAUGUGAAAGCCCCGGGCUCAACCUGGGAUGGUCAUUUAGAACUGGCAGACUAGAGUCUUGGAGAGGGGAGUGGAAUUCCAGGUGUAGCGGUGAAAUGCGUAGAUAUCUGGAGGAACAUCAGUGGCGAAGGCGACUCCCUGGCCAAAGACUGACGCUCAUGUGCGAAAGUGUGGGUAGCGAACAGGAUUAGAUACCCUGGUAGUCCACACCGUAAACGCUGUCUACUAGCUGUUUGUGACUUUAAGUCGUGAGUAGCGAAGCUAACGCGCUAAGUAGACCGCCUGGGGAGUACGGCCGCAAGGUUAAAACUCAAAUGAAUUGACGGGGGCCCGCACAAGCGGUGGAGCAUGUGGUUUAAUUCGAUGCAACGCGAAGAACCUUACCUACACUUGACAUACAGAGAACUUACCAGAGAUGGUUUGGUGCCUUCGGGAACUCUGAUACAGGUGCUGCAUGGCUGUCGUCAGCUCGUG